Long non-coding RNA from Labrus mixtus (cuckoo wrasse), 858 nucleotides. RefSeq lists it as uncharacterized. The record is from RefSeq and is a predicted model, not a curated record. The transcript is spliced from 2 exons. NCBI's taxonomy places the organism in Eukaryota, Metazoa, Chordata, Actinopteri, Labriformes, Labridae.
UUUUUUCCUGCUGUGAUCGCAGAGGGAGCCUCGACUUUGACAAAGGGACGAACAAACUGAGCAUGUCCUCAACUCCUCAGCAGAACUUCUCCAGACAGAUGAGAGAAUCCAAACCCAGACCAAACAACGUACGAAUCUCUGGCACAGCGAACGAGCAGGAGGAGGAAACAUGUGCUCGCACUAAUGACAGUGUCAGGAUUGUCCUUGCUGGGGGAAGGAGGCGUGUCAAGGUGUGCUUCACUUCACAGAUUCACAGAUGACCACAUCAGACACGGCAGACCUCGGCUAAGUGACUGAACUCGGAGAGAGUCCAGACAUUAACCUUCAUCGAAACAUUAUGAGCAAAGACACUACGUUUUAAAUUUGACUUCCAGGAGAAAUAAAGAGUUUCUCUUCCUCUGACUGUCUGUCCCUGUUUUAGUUUUGCAGAGUUGUGACUGGCUGGGCUGGAGCUCAAUCAGGGAUAAAAGAUCUCAAAUGUACAGGUACAUGUGGAGCUGAUGAUGGGUUUCCAUGGAGACUUAAGUGGUAGUAGAAGGAUAAGUGCAGUAAAGCAAAAGCCAGGUCCAAAUGACAGGUGAAUCUGUGUUUCAGUUCUAUUCAAAAUGUUCGGUCAGGUGCACUCUGCACUGAUGUCAGGUAUAUCUAGUUGUGUGUAGAAAAGCCUUUAUAUAAUAAAAACUGGGCCAUAAAAUAUGCCCCCGCAGCCCCCGCAUGGAUUAGGGGAGGUGUCCCGCCCAUGCCUGUCAAAAUGUUUUUUAUACAUGUAUGCUUCAUAUAAAUACACAUGGGGUGCAUGUGAUGAUACUGUCUGUAUUUUCAGUGUAAAAAAUAAAUAUAUAUAUAUUUUUUAAUUUA